Molecule: long non-coding RNA, 18900 nt
Filed under: Nicotiana tabacum (common tobacco)
Lineage: Eukaryota; Viridiplantae; Streptophyta; Magnoliopsida; Solanales; Solanaceae
Description: long non-coding RNA (NTAB_LNC003228)
Source: RNAcentral
AAAAAAAAACCUAAUCCCUUUCAUUUGAGGAAUGGAGAAAAACGGCAGAACAUUGAGACGGAUUCCCCAACCCCCACUGAAAAACCCUAGCGGCUCACAGACCCCUCUCCCUCUAAGACAACCAGCCGCCACCCGUUUCUUUCUACUUCUUCUUUCUACUCUUUCUCAUCGUACUUCAUCCAUUCAUAUACAUACGUUUACUUUGCUUGUCGAAAAAUGAUAUUCGAUCUAUGAAGUUCUAAAAUCAGAACAAAAGUCCAACGAAUUGAUCGUUAAUGGACGUGCCAACAUGUCCUUGAGCAGCUUGCUCGAUUUCUUUCUUCCUGAGGUUUCUCAAAGUCGUUUUGAGCUGUGGAAUCACUGUACUGUCGUUGCUGCUAAAUGAGCUAUUUACUUGCUGAGUUUGGUUGGGCUGUGUUGCUGAGUUUCAACUUUAUCCUAUUUUGUAUUUAUUUGGCUUUCUAAAAUGGUUCUUGCGCAACCAGGUAUUCAUUUGAACUCAUUUUUAUUUUGAAAAACAUGAAUUAAUCCUUCUGUUUCUCUAUGAAGUUUCAAAUCAUUGUUGUUUUUACAUAUUUGAAUCUUUUUCUGAGUAGUCUAUCGAUUAAUAAUAUAAAUUUAUUUAACUUCAGGGUGAUUUGCUUCUGUUUUAUUUGGGGACUUAAGUGUUGAAAAAAGCAGGAUUCUGUUGCUCUGGUUUCUGCUCCAUCAAAUUUCGUUGAUUGGUUAUGUUUUAAUAUAGUCAUGAAUCUGAUUAAUGUUAGAUAGGUAUGGAGUGUAAAUAGGCACAAAAAAAUUAAUAUCGAUAUAGAUAGCCUUCCCAUUUAACACUUGACUUUGUAUUGAAAGACUAAUGAAUUGCCUGAUGAUUCAUUUGGAAAUUAAAGUUGUAAUAACGGAAAGCCGUAGAUAUAUCAGAUUUGCGAAGCAGUUUGGUUGUAAUCAAUAGAGUGGUUGUAUGCGUAACAAGGUUCGAUAGAGUUGAUUGAUUGAUAGAAUGGCUAUUUGUGUAAUGGGCCUAGCUGUUUUAGAACAAGUCAAUGUUGUGAACCCAUAUAAUGGAGAUACUUUAUUUGCAAUUUCCUAAUCACAAUCCCAUGCUUCUAUUUACAUUAGAUAGUCAUGUGAUACUGGAUGAUUUGUAUCUUGUGAAUAUAAUUAGGAUUGGCCCUUUGUAAUUUCGUUUGAGUUAUAGCUUUCACGCUCUGAAUUUUAAGGGAGGCUAGUGAAUAAUCGACCUUCAAGGCACAGAUGAUGAAAACUUUCCUUGAAUCAAUCUUAGUAAAUACAUGCAGCUGGCUCCUAUGCCUUUUUAGCAUAAUGCUUAACAAUUGUCGAACAUUUCUGAUAGAAACAAAGCAUCCACCAAACUAUAUAGAGAACCAGGUUCUCUAUCUAUUCACACAGUAAAUCGGCAGUAAAUAGAGAACACAGAGGAAUUUUACAUGGAAAACUCCCAGAUCACGGGAUUAAAAACCACUGCCUACCGGUGUAGGAUUUCAACUUCACUACUGAGUAAUCUUCAGAUUACAACCUAUUGUAACCUAGGAAUUAACCGCUUAAUCCCUCACUAACUUAUAACUACACUAUUAGAAGCCACUUUGUAAUAACUCUAUUACAAAGACUUAAUCACUCACUAACUUGUAACAACACUAUUACAAGCCACUUUGUAAUAACUUUAUUACAAAGACUUCACAACUCGACUAACUCUAGCCAAGACACAAACACAAGGGUUUAUGAUUUACAAAGGGUUUCCUACAUAAUGCUUCUAAGUAAGCUAAGUAGGAAUUACAAGUCUGAGCUUCAACAAAGAUACAACACAACUAAGGACAUAUAAUAACUCAAUAUGGGGGUAUUGGUCUAUUGCUAUGUUGUUCUUUCUUCUUGAUGCCCUUGAGAAUCACUUGUAAGAUGGACACACAUUUGAGAGAAUGCUUGAUGAGUUCUUGAAUGUGCAAGUGAUUUGUUUUACCUUUGCUUGAUGUUAAUAUCUCAUUUGUGACAUCACUUGGAUGAUGUAAGCAAGGUAGGUAAAAAGCUUUCCACAGAAAGUUGACUGUUGCACUGUUCAUGUACUGUAGUAUGUGCAGGCAACAACUUUCCAACUGGAGAGUUGACUUCAUACAGUCACCUCAGGAACUGGUAGGGACCUGGUCCCUAAGCUGUUCCUUCCACUCUGAGGAGUUAAGCCAUAUCCAAACUGGAUCCCAACCGGGAACUUUGUGAUCUUAAGGUCUUGAGAAUGUUUAAAGCUGUAGAGUUGACUAUACGACGACCAGAUCUGUUGUUUCCUUAUCUGAUUUCGUUGAGAAUUGAACCAGACAUCUAACUAGUUACUCUGAAUGCAAGAGAACUAAUCGUAUCAGGUUCCUUAUCUUGUUCUCUCAUGAAGUUUGUCAAAUUAUCAAAACAAAAGACGCAUAACUUAUCCAUUUCCCCCUUCUUGAUGAUGAAAAACUUAGAAUUGUAAUUAGAAUUUAUAUCCCCCCGUGAGAACCAAAUCUCCACAUUGUCCCCGUAUGAAUUAGCCAUAUUCCCCAUGAGAACCAGCCCAAAGGAACUGAUCACAACUGGUUCUUCAAGAUUAUUUGGCAAAUCUUCAAAACACAAAAUAACAUAACUUAUCAAUUUCCACCUUUUUGAUUAUGACAAACCCAAAAUUAAUGUUCCCCUUGAGAACCAGAUUCCUCACAUGUUUCCCUGCAGAUCAGACCUUGAAUUAACAUGUUAUCAACAACGUUCCCCCUGCGAAGCAGAGCUAUCUUUCAUGCACAACACAACAUAUCAAAUUCGAUUCUAUUCCUCCCUCAUGCUGACACCUAUAUAACUUCCCCCUUUUGGCAUCAUUGAAAAGAAUAACAGAAGAAGCACAACCAAAAAGAAGUUCAGUAACAUUAACUCAGGCUACUUGGGCAACACAACAUAAACAAUAACAAGAACCACAAGUGAAUGUCAUUGCACAAAAUAGAGUAAUUGCCCAUAGUAGAGUAAUUAUAACAAAAACACAGUAGUUUCAACAAUACAGAAUAUGACAAUUUAAACAACUAAAGUACCAAUGUCAUCAAACAUAGGGAACAAAAGAAGAUAGGAAUUCGAGAGAAUUUGGAAGGAGUGAAAGGCAUGGAUCACUAGGCAGGAAGAAAAGUAAGGGGAUAAGGCUUUGAUGAGCUUGUCAAUUCGUUCAUUCACAAUCAUUUGAUCAAUGAUCAUCUGCUCUCUCAGUUCCUCCAUCUGUUUCCUCAAUCUUUCAUUCUCACCCUUCAACUUAGCAUUCUAUUCUGCCAAGGGUCCACGGGGACCUGGUUCUCUACCUUUCUGAGCAGGCUGAACCAUCAAUCAUAUCACCUAGAAUCUCCCCAAGCUUCUCCUUAUCAAGAACAAACUCAGUCUCAUACACACAUAGCAUCAAAGUAACACAUACAACAUAAAAGUUUUUACUUCUUCUUCAUAAACGUUGGGACUUGGAGGAACAAAGAGGUGAUUCUAUUUUUGGAUCUCAACAAUGUCAAGAAGUUCCUCCAGUUUUCAGUAAUAUCAUAUUCAACACUCUGCCUAACAACACUUUUUGAGAAAUCAGAGUCUUCUACCUCUCCAAACCUGAUAACUUAACCUUUUCCUUCUAUAAGGAAACAGGUUCCUCACUCACACUACCCUUUCUUUCCCUAAGCGGCCAUGUCCCUCUUCUUCUUCUCAAUCUGUUCACCCUUAUCAUCUAUUACAUCUUUCUUAGCCAACUUUAUUUUCUUAAUUUUUUUGAAUUCUUUCUCACAAAUGGAGAUUUUCCACUUCAUUCUCUUUUCCACAAUCAGCACAUCAGCAGGUCACACCACUUCAUCAUCAAUUAGCCUACUUUUCUCAAUCCUUUUUACUGGAUCAGAGAUUCGUUUAAGCAUAGAACCCAAGAGAAAAAAACCAUCAUCAGAAUUAGCAUCCUAAGAAGGAUUUGAGGGACCAGGUCCUUCAUUCAGUUCCCCCUUUUUCCGGCACAUUCACCAACUCCUCCAUCCUUCAAGGCUUCUACAAACCCAACAUCAAUUUCAGCCUCACUUUCCAAAAUAUUAGAUCUACCCCAUUCCUUUUCAGUUAAAGUCCCAUCAAAAUCUACCAAAGACUUCUUGGGUUUCGAUUCAGAUGUAGUUAGGAUUUUGGAAGGUGAAAGAGUUGGAUUCACUUCUGGCAUAUUUGGAGAGACGGAUUAUUUUUGAGUUAAGGUUGAUUUUUGAGGAAAAGAAUCGGUUAUGGUUGGGUGUGAGAGAAGGAAAUGGUUUUUCGGGGCAACAGGUCAGUUCAGAAAAGGUUUAACAUUUUGAACUUCAAAAUUUGGAGAGAGAUGGGAAUAAAUUAAUGACAUUAUAUUUCAGUAGUUUAAAAAGGUAUAUAAGUAUUUAAGAGACUACUAACCUGAGUCAUAAGAACAAGGUUCCUUGACGGUUUUUAAAAAUUUAAGCAAAGACUCCUAGAAGGGCAAUGUCACUCUUACUUGUUUUGUCCUGAAACUGCCAUGUAUGUAUACCAGUAAUAGUAUAGAUUUGAGUUAGAUGUCACCAAAAGACACUUUUUAGCGUUGUACCUUUCCUUCUUAACAUAGCCAAUCAUCGAGGGACCAGGUCCUUAGUUAAGCUGGAUAAACUUUCAAAGUGUUCACUGCUCAGCGCCUUAGUGAAGAUGAUUACUACCUAGUCCUCCGUCUUCCCGUACUUUAUAAUAAUUAGAACCUUUUCAAUAUUAUACCUCAAAAAGUGAUGUCGUACAUCAAUGCGCUUUGUCCUCUUGUAUUGUACCGGGUUCAAGCUGUAAAUACACCAAAGUCUUUAAGAUGUUGCUUGAUCUGUAGUAGUUGAACACAACAAGAAGCAACAACCAUGUAUUCAACUUCAUUAGUAGAAAGAGCCACAUAAUUUGUUUUUUUGUACCCCAUGAGAUCAAGCAUGACACUAGAAAAUGUGUCGUUCUAGAUGUGCUUUUUCUAUCUACUAGAUAUUCAACAUAAUCAACAUCAGCAUAUCCAACCAAGUCAAAAGAAUCUUCUGAAAAAUAGAUGAGGACCAGGUCCUGCUUUCCCUUAGGAUACCUCAAAACUCCCUUGGCACCCUUCAAGUGAGAGUGUUUUGGGCCAGGUUCCAAUCGCUGUUCUGUAUGAAGGCCUAGAGACCAGGUGCCACACUUGGUUCCUCUCAACUGAUGGAGUUCUUCUUGCAUAGAAGCUAUCCAGUUAGCAUUUUUCAAUGCUUCUUUGAUGUUCUUAGGCUCGAUUUGAGACAAGAACGUUGAGAGGGAAAACAUGUUCCUUGCCUUAGAACUAGGUUGAAUACCAGAGUCUAAGGAUGUGAUUACAUUUUGAAGGGAUGUGAACUCUUUUGCUUCUAGUUGGAUACUUGAACUUCAGAAUUUGAAGGACCAGAUUCCUCCAUAUGUGAAUCAUCAUUGACAUCAACAGAAUUAUGACUUCCACUCUUUUGUUCUACAUCAGGAGUACCUAAUGCAGCAUCAACAACCCUAUGUUCAGCUUAAUUCGAGGUGAUAGAGGGACCGAGUUCCUCUACACCUUUGGAGAUUCUACUGCAUCUCCUUCAUCGCUCUGCUUGACUCAUCAAAUCAGUCUUUCCAUUUGCACUAUCUGUAGCUUCACCAGGAGAAUUUGUGAAUUCUCCAUCUUCAUCUUCUUUGUUAUGUGUUUCCACCAUUGUUGAGAACACAACAUUUUGCAUCCAAAGGCUCUCGGGUAAGUUAGAUUGGGUUUUCUCCCAUUGAGCAGUUCAUAGAGAGACUUCUCGAGAAAGGACCUGAUCAUGCACUUGUUAAUCAAGUAGCAAGCAGUGUUGGUUGCUUCAGCCCAUGAACCAAGUCCUCCAUAAUCAACUUGUUCAACAUAUAAAAGCUCACAUGCCCCAGUCAUCUUCGACAUAACUCAGCAUCAUCAUCAAUGACACUUAGGCAUGUUAGAUCACCAUCAUUCAGUGAAUCAAGGUCUGCAACAUAGAUAUUCUUGAAUCUCUUAGCUAUCAAUACCAUUUCACCAGUUUUAAGAUUUUGUGAAAGUGCAAGAUUUGGACAAGAACUUCACUUUAUUUUUCCUUAUCACAGAUUUAAGACACAUUCAACAAGCUAUAUUUCAAGCCAUUCACAUAGUACACAUUUUUGAUUGCAUGAGAGAGUGUUUUGUCAAUUUUGCCACCACCAAGAAUAUAGCCUUCUUGUCAUUUCUAAAGGACACACUCCCACCUUGGAAGGCCUAGAGUGAGAGGAAAUUAUUCAUUCUUCUAAUCUAAUGCUUAGAGCAGCCACUAUCCAUGUGCCAUUUUUUUGACUGCUACCUCUCACUUCAGCCUGCACACUAAAUCAAUGAUUAGAAUUAGGAACCCAAGCCAGCUUGGGUCCCUUAUAAUGAUAGAACGGGCUGAUCAAACUUCUUUUUGCCCGCGCAGGCAGCACAUAUUUUCUUUUCAGGGAACCAGGUUCCUCAUCAAUAGGCCUCUUUCCAACAAAAACUUUGUUUUUUUUGUAAACGCUGAAUUUUAGUUUUACAAGAGUCCUUGUAAUGACCCAUUUGACCACAGUGAGUGCACAACCUAUUAUCAGCCUCAGUUACAUACUUGCUAUGGGGAUUACAGGAGGUUUUAGCCUUUUGGAACCCGAUUCCUUUCCUGUUUCCACCAUUACUCUUGUACAUAGACAUUAUUACAUCAGAGGACCAGGUGCAAUUAAGUGACUUAUCAAGAUCAUUUUUAACCCUUUUCAAAUCCUCUUGAAGUUGUCUAUUUUUUUCAAGCUCAACAAUAAGACUUGUUUUAACUUUCUUAAGCUCACUCUUAAGCUCAAGUCAAGCCUCACUAGCCACUUCUUUACCCUUAGUGCUGUCCAUCCAUUUUUUCGUUUGGUUUUUAAACAAGUUAGUUUCUCUAGUUACUUCUUCCACUUGUUCCUUCAAAUCUACAAUGGAAACUACCAUAUUAUCCCUCUCUUGUUCCAUGUCACCAAUUUCUUCUACUAAAGCAUUUUUCUCAUUAAUGAGGCUAUGAUAGGCAUCAAUCAACACAUUUGCUAAGGACAUCAAUUUUUUGUUUGAGUAAGUUUUCAAAUUUUUUUGAACAUCAAGAAAACUUAUCUCAUCUUCCUCCUUAUCCUCAUCAUCAUCAGAUUUGGCCAUAAGUGCAAAGAUUGACUCAUAUUCUGAAGAUCCAUUAUUAGCAACCAUCAUAUAUGUAUCCCCUUGGUCAUCUUCACCUUCAGAUUCACUAGAAGAAUUUCCCCAGUCAGCCAAAGCUUGUUCACCAUGUUGUCACCAACAUCUCUUCUUUUGAACUUCCUAUCAGAGACCUCCUUUCUCUUAGCCACCUUAUCAAUGUUGGUUUUAUAAUGAUCCUACUUAUGAAGAGGACAAUCUUUAAUAAAGUGUCUAGACUUUCCACACUUAUGACAAAAAUCAUUUUCUUUGAAAUUCCUGCUGGAACUUCCUUUCUUUGGAAUCCCACCAUUUUUUUGAAUCAUCUUUUGGAAUCUUCAAGUGAGAUACUCCAUGUCGGAUUCAUCACUACUUGAGUCUUUGUUGGCAUCCUUGAGAACCAGGUUCUUCUCCUUCUUGGGCUCUCUUAUUUCAAGAUCCUUCUUUCUCUUCAUCUCAUAAGUUUUGAGAUUUCCAGUGAGUUCAUCAAUAGUCAGCUUCUGCAAAUCCUUGGCUUCUGUGAUAGCAUUCACUUUACUUUCCCAAGAACCUGGUAAAACACUGAGUAUUUUCCGAACCAACUUGUUCUUGGGAUGAUUUCACCAAAGGAGUGAAGCUCAUUGAUAAUGGAGGUGAAAUGUGUGUGCAUAUCUUGAAUAGACUCAUCCUCCUUCAUCUUGAAAAGCUCAUACUCAGUAGUAAGCAUAUCAAUUUUGGAUUGAUUAACCUGAGUAGUUCCCUCAUGGGUAGUUUGAAGAGCUUCCCAAAUCUCCUUAGCAUACUAACAAGCUGAGAUGCAGUUGUACUCAUCUGGUUCGAUGCCGUAAACAAGAAUCUUCUUUGCCCUGAAAUUCUUCUCAAUAUCCUUUCUAUAAGCAUCGUUGUACUAUUUUCUUGUUUUUGGGAUUGUAACUGUUCCCUCACCAACAGUUUUCAUGGGAACAAAAUGUCCAUCACAGAUUACAUCUCACAACUCUGAGUCCUCAGCCAUAAUAAAGUCACACAUUCUUGUUUUCCACCAACUAUAGUAUUGGUCGUUGAAUCUUGGUGGUCUGUACGUUGAUUGUCCUUCCUCAAAGUUUGGUGGAACAGCCAUGUAGAUCCUUCCUAGGUGUUAACUUUUUAGAAGAACCUGCUCUGAUACAAUUGAUAGAAACUAAUAGCCUGUUUGGUCAAGCUACAAAAAUCAGCUUAUUUUGAGAAGUGCUUUUUUUCAAAAGUACUUUUGGUGAGAAGCAAUUUGUGUUUGGCUAAUUAGUUUGAAAAGCACUUCUGAGCAGCAAUUGGUGUUUGGACAAGCUUUAAAAUACUAUUUCUAAGUGUAUUUUUCUCAAGAGUGCUUCUCAAANAAGUGCUUUUGGAAAGAAGCUACUUUUUUCUGCUUAUCCAAAACUGCUUCUGAUUCUCCUCAAAAGCACUUUUUUCAUUCCAGAAGCUUGGCCAAACACCUCAAUUUUUGGCCAAAAAGCGCUUUUGGCCAAAAAUAAGCUUGGCCAAACAGGCUAUAAGCAUCCACCAAACUGUAUAGAGAACAAGGUUCUAUAUAUGUUCCCAUAGUAAAUCGGCAGCAAAUAGAGAACAAAAAGGAAUUUUACGUGGAAAAUUCUCAGCUCACGGGAUUAAAAACCACGACCUACCCUUGUAAGAUUUCAACUUCACUACUGAGCAAUCUUCGGAUUACAACCUAUUGUAACCUAGGAAUUAACCUCUUAAUCCCUUACUAACUUGUAACUAUACUAUUACAAGCCACUUUGUAAUAACUCUAUUACAAAGACUUAAUAACUCACUGACUUGUAACAACACUAUUAUAAACAACUUUGUAAUAACUCUAUUACAAAGGCUUCACAACUCAACUAACUCUAGCCAAGACACAAACACAAGGGUUUAUGAUUUACAAAGGAUUUCUCACACAAUGCUUCUAAGUAAGCUAAGUAGGAAUUACAAGUAAGAACUUCAACAAAGAUACAACACAACUAAAAACAUAUAAUAACUCAAUAUGGGGGACUAGUCCGUUGCUAUGUUGUUCUUUGUUCUUGAUGCCCUUGAGAAUCACUUGCAAGAUGGACACACACUUGAGAGAAUGCUUGAUGAGUUCUUGAAUGUUCAAAUAAUUUGUUUUACCUUUGCUUGAUGUUAAUAUCUCAUUUGUGACAUUACUUGGAUGAUGCACUGUUCCUGUACUAUAGCGUGUGCAGGCAGCAACGUUUCAGCUGGAGAGUUGACUUCGUAAAGUCACCUCGGGAACUGGUCGGACCUGGUCCCUCAGUUGUUCCUUCUACUCUGAGGAGUUGAGCCAUAUCCCAAACAAGAUCCCAACUUGGAACCUUGUGAUCUUAAGGUCUUGAGAAUGUUUAAAGCUGUAGAGUUGACUAUACGACAGCCAGGAGAACUGAUCCAUAUAUGUUCCCUCUGUUGUUCUCUUAUCUGAUUUCAUUGAGAAUUGAAUCAGACAUUUGACUAGUUACUCUGAACGCAAGAGAACUAAUUGUAUAAGGUUCCUUAUCUUGUUCUCUCUUGAAGUUUGUCAAAUCAUCAAAACAAAAUGCACAUAACUAGUCAAUUUCCUCCUUUUUGAUGAUGACAAACUUAGAAUUGAUAUUCCCCUUGAGAACCAGAUCUCCACAUUGUUCCCCCUAUGAAUCAGCCAUAUUCCCUAUGAGAACCAGACCAAAGGAACCGAUCACAACUGGUUCUUCAAGAUUGUUUGGCAAAUCAUCAAAACACAAAAUAACAUAGUUUAUCAAUUUCCAAACAAUUUAGAUUCAGUUAAUACUUCCAUUUAAUAAUCGCUAGUUGCUUUAGGUCCUUUUAUAAUAAAUCAUUAUGACUAUGGGUACGAUUCCUGUGGCAUAGUCAUGAUACCUAAUCCCCAAUUCGAGUGUGCGUUUCAACUGACUCGACCAUAACUUCAAAUAAUUAUAAAAAUAAGCAUGUUGUAAAUCGCAGGUGCGUUUCACGUGACGCGAUUCACAAUAUGUCCAAAACCAACGAAUGCGCGCCAUCGCGACUUGUUCAAAUAAAUUUCAUAAAUACUAAAAGAGGUUAAGUAAAUAAUUAAAAGCGGUUAGAAAGUUAAAAAUGCAUAAAAGGUUUUAAACAUGUAAUAAUUCAGAUAAUUAAGCCAAUUAUUAAUAGUUGAGCGACCGUGCUAAAACCACGAAACUCGGGAAUGCCUCACACCUUCUCCCGAGUUAACAAAAUUCCUUACCUGGUCUUUUGGUUUUCACAGACUUUAAAACAGAGUCAAAUUUCUUCUAAUUGGUUAAAAUAAAUCGGUGACUUGGGACACCAUAUAUUAUUCCAAGUGGCGACUCUGAAUCAAUAAAUAAUCUAUUUCGACUAAUGUCACUUUAAUUGGAAAAAUGUCAUAUUCCCUUCGGAAAAAAGGAGGUGUGACGGCUCUGGCGACUCUGCUGGGAACAAGAGCCCAGAAUCUCUGGUUCAGGGUUCAGAAUUCGAGCUUAGAAUAACUAUUAUACUUGGCAUUUGUUUAUUAUUUGACUUUUUACGUGCUUGAGCCUAACGUGCUAAAUGACGCUUUUUACCGCUUUGAUAUUGCUUGAACUGUAUAUAAAACUGUUACGAAACCCUUCUUGUCUCUGAGUCUUCUGAAUCUUCUGGAAAGUGCAUGCUAGCAAAGCCGGUGAAGCUUCUAUUUUCCAGGUACUCUGCCCCCCUCGGCUCGAGUUGUCCGCUCGGGUAAGCCAGGUCUAGAACAAUACACCCCAAGAUUUAAACUUAGAAUAACAUAGCCUCAUGUCGGAUCCCUAGUAGGAACGUUUGUUUGUAUCACGUGCAUUUGACUUUGGGGACUCAACACAGGGGUUGGGUCCGUCUAGGACGUGUACCCAAAUUAAAAAGACCAUCCUGAUGCAUCUUACGUGCUACUUGUGCAUUUAUUUGUUUUGGCUUGCAUGUUGACUGGCUUCUAGGGAAAGAAAAUUUUAAAAAAUAAAAAAUAAAGAGUGAGAGGUAAGUAUUUAAAAUCUGAAACUCUGCCGAAAUUUUGAAAAAGAAAGAGAAAAGAAAAUAAGCCAAUGUUCUCAAAAAGUCAUGUUUCCCUAUUUCAUUAAAACUGGGCCAAACUACGCGGGUCUGAUUCUUACUGGGUGUGAGAUACAUAGGCAAACCUCAUCGGUUCCAGCCCAUAAUUUUAAAAAAUCCAAAAAAAAUUUCCUUUACUUUCUUCUUUAGAAAGUCUUUCUUUUAGACUCUAAUUUUUAAAAAUACAAGAAUAUUUUCUUUUAAUUUCUUCUCAAAAUACAAAAAUAUUUUCGCUCUUCUUUCGAAAAUUGAAAAGAAAAUUCAAGAUUCAAAAAUAUUUUCUUUUUUCUUUAGAAGUAUUUCUUUCAUAAAUUCAAAAUAAAAGUCCAAUAUUCAAAAAUAUUUCCUUUCUUCUUUAGAAGUUUUUCUUUCGAAAUUCCAAAGAAAAACAAACAAAUCAAAAUCCAAAAAUAUUUUUUUCUUCUUUAUAAGUUCUUUUUUUUCGAAAAUUAAAAAUUAUAAAAAAAAUUCAAAAUUCAAAAGCCAAAAAAAAGAGUUAGUUUGUUUAUUUUAUUCCUCAUUUUCCCGUACUAUGCAAGAUCUGCUUCAUGUUUCCACAUGAUACGUAGGCAACCCACAUUAGGUUCGACCAACCAUUAUAAAAAAUGAUGAUGAUAAUAAUGAGGACCGACUGAGUCCAUUCUAACGUGUCUUUUGUUUUGAAUUGUGAACAAAGUUUGAGGUGGUCGGUUUGUCUUAAGCUACAACAUAUCCAUAAUUCACAAGGUCCAAGGGAAAAAUGCCAAUGGCAACUGACAUUGAAGUUGUUACGAGUGGUCAAGAGACUCGGGGGUCAGAGGGUACAACAAGAGUCUAUUGUGAUUGAGGAAAAUAAAAUAUUGAAAUAGUAAAUGACUCAAUUGUGUCAAACAUGGGCCAAUGGUCAAGGACCACACAUUUCUCAUGUUUUCCCAAAGUUCACACCCAUCUCGACUACUACUACUCCGGUCUCAUUGUCUGAUCAAUCCUAUCCAUAUGGGUUCAGUCUUUAUCCCAACUGUACGACUACAGCUGGAACUUCUGUUGCAUACUCCCACAGUGUGCCAUUGACAACCAAUCACACAACCACUGUUGUUAUGCCCCGUCUUUACUAUCCCACAGCCAACAGUGGUACAGAAGAAAAGUCAUGAGUCACAUUUUUCUACCCAACAAGAAUAGUACCACUCGUACCUAUUUGAUCUUCUUGCAAAUAUUGAGAAGCCUACCCGAAAGAUGGCACAGGAAGAAAUAACCCAAAAAAUAAAAAGCUUAGAACAACAGCUGAAAAUCAUAUAAGGGAUGGUAGGUCAUAAGAGUAUUGCCUUCAAGGAUCUAUGUAUGUUCCCCAAUGUCCACUUGCCACCUGGUUUCAAGACCCCCAAAUUCAAAAAGUAUGAUGUACACGACGACCCCAUAGCCCACUUAAAAAGGUAUUUCAAUUAACUAAGAGGUGUGGGAGGAAAUGAAGAAUUACUAAUGGUUUAUUUUGGGGAAAGCCUUACGGGGAUAACCUCUAAAUGGUUUACUAAUCAAAACACCUCUCACUGGCAUGUCUAGGAUAACAUGGCCUAGGCCUUUGUCAAAUAGUUCCAAUACAACAUCAAAAUUGCCCAGACCACAAUCCCUUUCAAACCUGAAGAAGAAACCAACUGAAAGUUUCAGGGAAUAUGCCAUUAAAUGGAGAGAGCAAGCGGCUAGAGUUAAACCACCCAUGCGAGCUAAUCACUGUAUUCCUUCAGGCUUAAGAGCCAGAUUAUUUUCAAAACAUUAUGUCCGCAGUGGGCAAAUCCUUCUCGAAAGCAAUCAAAAUUGGGAAAAUGGUUGAGAAUGGCCUUAAGACGGGCAGAAUUAUAAGUCAAGCAGUUCUGAAAGCCGCAACUCAGUCUGUCCAGAUUGAAUCGGAUAAUUUAUGUGACACGAAUGAGAAAGAUAUAGAAACUAUGAUGACAUCAGAGUCAAAAAGAGCAUCUCGAAGGUAUGACCAGCUUCGCCUGGUUUUCGAUGAUUCCCCUAAGCACUACUAUCUAUCUCAGAACCCACAAUACUCUGUUGCUCCACCUCAGUAUGUUGUCCAGCCACCAAAACACCCAGAAGGAGAGCACGAGCAUCACAAAAUUUCCACCAACCUCUAUAAAAUAUUUAAGUGCCCUAUAACCCACAUCCAAGCCAGGGGUAUAAAGGGAAACAAAGGUUGAAACAUAAUUUUAUACCAAUAGGAGAGUCCUAUACAAGUUUGUUUGAGAAAUUAAAGCAUUAUGACAUGAUUGCACCUAUUCCUCCAAAUUAUAUAGACCCACGUGCAAGAAGCUUUGACCCUUCUAAAAGGUGUGAAUACCAUUCCAAUGCUCAGGGCCACAAUUUUGAAAGUUGUCGGGAUUUGAAAAGAGAAAUAGAAAGGAUGAUCCAAGAAAAAUUGAUUGAAAUUGGAGAAGGCCCUGGUGAUUUUGAUGAUCAAAUUUGUGGCUAAAUGUCAAGCUAGGCAAUUGAAAAGUCAUUCCCUCCUCACUAGCAAGGAAUCUUGGUAGCUUGUUUUGAUAUUUUUUUCUAUGAUCUGGGUUAUUUUAGGGUUGUGAUCCAGAUUUUAUAUAUUUUAUUGAGUCAAACCCUUCCAUCCAUCUAUUUUAUCUGUGUGAGUCUUGUCUGUUUGUUCUAUUGCUAUUUUCAUUAUCUGGUUUAUUUUAGGGUUGUAACUCGGAUUUUAGGUUGUUUGUCUUGUUGUCCAACCUUUCCAUUCUUUACUCAAUGAAAGACAUUUUGUCCUUUUGUGUCAUUCUAUGCUUAAUCCUUUUCCUGCUAGUUCUAGUGACAUGACAUGCAUGCGGAAUUUUUUGCCAGAUCCUAGAAAACUGAUUUACUCUUGAAUUGGAUAACUGAGAAAAAGAUACUUUUGAGGAUGAAUAAAGAGUUGAAAUACCUUAGAAUUAAUCCUGAGUAAAAUUCAAGUGGAACUAGAAUAGUCAUAUCCAUGGAGGUUAAGAAUCUUUACCUUCAAAAUCAUUGUAAAGAUUAGAUUUGAGGAUGUUGAAUCAUUUGAAGUUCGGUGGAAAGUUUGAGAUUAAUGGAUGGAAAGUGUCUUUCGACUACGACACACCAAAAACACAGACAUGUUCAUCAUUGUUGUGAUCGCGAAUGGACACUAUAAUUGGUGUUCUCGAGGCUGGGAGGCCUUUUUUCUGCUAUCCAAAUACUUUAUACCCUUUGUUACCCCUUUUGAGCUUGUAUUAUUUUCUUUGACCACUUUCUUUUGGAAUUAAGUUUCGAGUUAAAAGUUAAAAAAAUGAAUAGAAAAGUCCAUGCCCCAAGAGUACAAACUGGGGCAGCUCUUAGAAAAAAAAACAAUCAAAGGUCCAUGUCCCCAGAAAAGUUGGGGAAACAUGUUUUGAAAACCAACAAAAAAAGACAGAGAAACAGAAAAAAGAUAGUUAGGUCAGAUGUUUGAACUACACUUGACCUGAUUUCUUAAAAAGGAUUAAUAGGCAGCCUUACAUGGUUCGGUCAAACCAAAUAAGAAUUCAUAAAACAAAAUCCAGUAUCUAAAACUGGGGCAUGAGUUUGUUUUAGUUUUUGAAAGAGUCAAUUCCAAGAGUUGUAAGUGUACAACCCAUCAUAUUGAGUCUAUUUUGAGCCUUCAUGUCGUCCUUUCUUUCCAACCAUAUCCAAAAACCUUCCAAAUAAAGCCCUUCUGAUCAGCCUUCAAGAAUUCCAAGAGACGCAUGCAAUGAACAACAAUUGUCACACGACGUAGAACACUAUCAAGUUGCUCACAAAAAAAGAGAAAGAAAAAGAAAAAAAAAUGAGAGAGUCUUACUAAUGAAAACCCUCAUGGGCACUGUAAGGAGAUGGUAAGUAGAGAAAAUAAAUGAGAGAGACUUGUUGGUAAAAAUUCAUCGGGGCACCACUAGUCGAAAGUGAGUCGUGAAGCUGAUGCAAAAAAUUGACAUAAACAAGCCUGACUUCAAAGGUCAUAAGAAUGGUAAAAGGGAAGAUUAGAUUAGUUUGAUAGAUUGGCCGUUAAGUCCAAAAUGCAUGUCAUGAUCAUUAAGGCUAGUUAUUGGAAGAAAAAGAGAAAAAUUCUUCCCUCUUUCCUUCCCGAUAGGGGCAUUUCUUGUUGAUACUGUUUCUUUGCAUCAUUAUGUCCCUUCACUCUGAGUCAGUCCUUGUCAAAACAAGCAAGAAAAUUUUUCAAAAUUUGCUACCAGCUUUUCAGUUGCACAAAGUAAAUUUGGUUAGCACACUCAGUUGUUAUAGUCUACAUGCCUUGAGGAUUCAUGCAAACGCCCCUACCCAAAAGACUCUUUCCAUCCUACUUGGCUAAAGCAAGCAAAGAUAACCUCGAGGUUAAUCAGGGGUUAUCUGUAGUACUGAACAGAGACUAUGAAGUGUGCACAUCAUGCAAAAGACGCACACCUGGUUGCGACUCUCUCUGACAAACAAAUUGCUCAAAAAGCAAGAAGCCAUUCAAGAUAUCAGAAAACGUCACCUAAGAAAAUAUCUCCAGUUGGUGUAAGGCUGAUUGAGCCACAAAUAAAAAUGGUACUGGGUGUGAAACAAUCAGGAUUGAUGCAGAGUAAAAGUCUCUUGAAACCGUCUCAAGUUGAUUGAGCAAAAGUCAAGUUGCCCACGACUCAAAGCCACAAACCAACCACCACUUUCAAAACUGACAAAAUUUUCUUUUUUUUUUGAAACAAGAACAAAGCAGUGCAAGGAAAGUGGUUCAAAAAAAAGAAGAAAAAAAAGAAAAAAGAAAAAAAAAAGAGAAAAAGAAGAGAAGAGAAGAACCAACAAAAGGGAAGUUUCUCAAAUAUUUGCCUUUAUUUGUCUUGCUAGUAUGCAUAAAAUCCUGCCAUCGCUCUUCACAUUUUUUUACUCCUAGGGUAAUACAUCCUAGUUUGAUGGAUUUCCCUUCCAAUAAAAUAUUAGUCUAAUGAAUCUUUCUCCUAAGAUAAGAAAACCUAGUCUGAUGAAUUUUCUCCUAGGAUAGAAAUCUUAGUAUGAUGAAUCUUUCUCCUAAGAUAAAAAGCCCUAGUCUGAUGAAUUUUCUCCUAGGAUAAACAUCUUAGUCUGAUGAAUCUUUCUCUAAGAUAUAAAAAAACCUAGUCUGACGAAUUUUCUCCUAGGAUAGAAAUCUUAGUCUGAUGAAUCUUUCUCCUAAGAUAAUAAAUUAGAAAACCUAGUCUGAUGAACUUUCUCCUAGGAUAGACGUCUUAGUCUGAUGAAUCUUUCUCCUAAGAUAAAUAGAAAAUCUAGUCUGAUGAAUUUUCUCCCUGGAUAAUUAAAAAAAAGUCUGGAUUUUUAAAAAAAAAUAAAGGAUCAAUUUCAGUUUUUAGUUGUUAAUCUUAAGUUCAGGGGUCCCGCCUGGAGAAUAGGAUCAGUUUUUAAUUUCCUUAAGUUAUUAAUCUUUAGCAUUCCUUUUAGUUCAGGGGUCUCGCCUAGAGAAUAGUGUCAGUUUUUAGUUUCCCUAAGUUGUUAGUCAUUAGUUUUUCUUAAAGUUCAGGGGUCCUGCCUAGAGAAUAGGGUCAAUUGUUAGUUUCCUUAAGUUUUCGAUCUCUAGUUUUUCUUUUGUUCAGGGGUCCUGCCUGAAGAAUAUGGUCAGUUUUUAGUUUCUUCAAAUUGUUAGUCUUCCAACAUAGGGUCUCCACUCCCUAGUCUUUUUUUUCAGGGUACACCAAACCCGACCUUUUAUUGCUUUAUAUAAUGAAGUAAUAUAGAGUUUUGGUACCAAUAACUAACGAAAUUUUUCUAGUAAAAACUGGGGCAGAAAAUUUCGUUCGUUCGUUUAUUUUGGGUGCCUGAGCAGGUUAUACCUCGAGGCACAAGGUUCGAGAUGACCAAAAGAAGUCUCAAUCCAAAAUAGAGAAAAGAAAAGGAAAAGAAGUGAAUUCAAAGUGCAGACACAAAGCAAAGAUGUGGACUGCUCAAGACAUGACUGAAGUCACAAGCUUUGCAUGUCCCAUCUUGAUCCGAAAAGCUGAAGAAGAAUGGACAAGCACAUCCAGCUAGCAAGCAUCAAGGUUCAGAUCAGAGUCUGUGUGAAGAACCAACGAAGAAUCGAGAUCAAGCUUCAAAAGACUCAUAGAUAGGAAUCUUGUAACUCGUAGAUAAUAGGCUUAGUUAGUCUUUUUUAUUUUGACUUUGGUAUAAUAAGGAGCUCAGAAAGUAGUAAACAACAGCAACAACGGUGAAAUCACAUCUUAUCGGUAGUCCCAGCUACCAAAAUUUUCAGAACUACACUGACCUGAUUCCUUUAUAGCCAAGGAUAUGUAGGCAACCUCCGGAGCAAGGUUCAGUCAAACUUUUUCAAAAUGCUUCCCAUGGAGUAUCAAACAGGCAAAAAUUGUUCAUGAUUGCUCACUUUAUCUUUGCCCGAAAAGUCUUCAUGUUUCGGAGCAAAGAGGGGUAGCUGUGACACCUGAGUUUUGCCCCACACAGAAAAUUACUCCUAAAAUGUCAAAAAAUAAUUUUAAUCGCUUUUAUAGAAUUUUAGGAAUAUUUCUUGUAUUUAUUUGCAUUGUUCAUGCAUAUUUAGAGUUAUUUUUAGAAAAUCAUAAAAAAAUGUUUAAUUUUUCAUCUCGUAGCAGUUAAAUCUUAAUUGUAUUUAGAAUUUAAUUACAUCAAUUAAAUGCAUUAUCAAAUGAAAAAAAUUCACAAAAUACCAUAGUCCUUUCUACAUUUUAGCUUUUAGUUUUAAAUUAAUAAUUUUCUUUUAUUAGUUUACAUUGUUAAGGUAAUAACUAACUAAUUGGUAGAUAAAAUAGUAAGAUGGUUAAUUUUGCAGUUUUUAGUUUACACAUUAGGUUAGUCUUAUUGUUGGCUAAAAGUGAAAUUUUUAAAAAGAGAAGCCUUUGCUGUUGGAGAUUUAUUAGCUUGAAUUGGGCCAGUUUGAGCCCAUUUUCUGUUAAAUCCAAAUCAUCCCUCCUAGCCCAGACCAAGCCCAAAUUCGGUCCUCCCCUAUUAAACACAAACGACCCUGUUUCGUCUCCCCUUCCCCUCAUCUCUGAAAAAAACCUAAUCCCUUUCAUUUGAGUAAUGGAGAAAAACGGUAGAACAUAGAGACGGAUCUCCCCCCCCCCAAUUGAAAAUCCCUAGCAGCUCACAGACCCCUUUCCCUCGAAGACAACCGGCCGCCACCCCUUUCCCUCUCCUUCUUAUUUCUACUCUCUCUUAUCGUACCUCGUCCAUUCAUUCACUUAUGCUUACUUUGCUUGUUGAAAUCUGAUAUUCGAUUUGUGAAGUUCUCAAAUCAGAACAAAAAUCCAACGAAUUGAUCGUUAAUGGAUGCGCCAACAAGUCCUUGAGCAGCUUGCCCGAUUUAUUUCUUCCUGAGGUUUCUGAAAGUCGUUUUGAGCUGGAGAAUCAAUGUACUGUUGUUUCUGCUAAAAGAGUUGUUUGCUUGAUGAGUUUGGUUGGGCUGUGUUGUUGAGUUUCAACUUUCUCCUAUUUUGUAUUUAUUUGGCUUUCUAAAACUGGUUCUUGCGCAACCAAGUAUUCAUUUAAACUCAUCUUUAUUUUGGCAAACAUGAAUUAAUUCUUCUAUUUCUCCAUAAAAUUUCGACUCAUUGUUGUUUUUACGUAUUUGAAUCUUUUUCUGAGUAGUCUAUCGAUUAAUAGAUAUAAUUUUAUUUAACUUUGGGGUGAUUUGCUUCUGUUUUAUUUGGGGACUUGAAUGUUGAAUAGAGCAGGAUUCUGUUGCUCUGGCUUCUGCUCCUUCAAAUUUC